RNAcentral lists this ribosomal RNA (763 nucleotides) under uncultured Streptococcus sp. RNAcentral's name for it is "bacterial SSU rRNA". It matches the Rfam family "Bacterial small subunit ribosomal RNA", at positions 28 to 776 of the family's 1533-position model. Lineage: Bacteria; Bacillati; Bacillota; Bacilli; Lactobacillales; Streptococcaceae. The record is from RNAcentral.
GACGAACGCUGGCGGCGUGCCUAAUACAUGCAAGUAGAACGCUGAAGGAGGAGCUUGCUUCUCCGGAUGAGUUGCGAACGGGUGAGUAACGCGUAGGUAACCUGCCUGGUAGCGGGGGAUAACUAUUGGAAACGAUAGCUAAUACCGCAUAACAGUAGAUAUUGCAUGAUAUCUGCUUGAAAGGUGCAAUUGCAUCACUACCAGAUGGACCUGCGUUGUAUUAGCUAGUUGGUGAGGUAACGGCUCACCAAGGCGACGAUACAUAGCCGACCUGAGAGGGUGAUCGGCCACACUGGGACUGAGACACGGCCCAGACUCCUACGGGAGGCAGCAGUAGGGAAUCUUCGGCAAUGGACGGAAGUCUGACCGAGCAACGCCGCGUGAGUGAAGAAGGUUUUCGGAUCGUAAAGCUCUGUUGUAAGAGAAGAACGAGUGUGAGAGUGGAAAGUUCACACUGUGACGGUAUCUUACCAGAAAGGGACGGCUAACUACGCGCCAGCAGCCGCGGUAAUACGUAGGUCCCGAGCGUUGUCCGGAUUUAUUGGGCGUAAAGCGAGCGCAGGCGGUUAGAUAAGUCUGAAGUUAAAGGCUGUGGCUUAACCAUAGUACGCUUUGGAAACUGUUUAACUUGAGUGCAAGAGGGGAGAGUGGAAUUCCAUGUGUAGCGGUGAAAUGCGUAGAUACAUGGAGGAACACCGGUGGCGAAAGCGGCUCUCUGGCUUGUAACUGACGCUGAGGCUCGAAAGCGUGGGGAGCAAACAGG